Molecule: transfer RNA, 66 nt
Filed under: Pygovepres vaccinicola
Lineage: Eukaryota; Metazoa; Arthropoda; Insecta; Hemiptera; Miridae
Description: tRNA-Leu
Source: RNAcentral
ACUACUUUGGCAGAUUGAAUGUAUUAAAUUUAGAAUUUAUUUAUGUAAUUUAUAUUACAAGUAGUA